GUGUCAGCAGCCGCGGUAAUACGAAGGGGGCUAGCGUUGUUCGGAAUUACUGGGCGUAAAGGGCGCGUAGGCGGCUUCGAUAGUCGGGCGUGAAAUGCCUGGGCUCAACCCAGGAACUGCGCUCGAAACUCCGAGGCUAGAGUGUGGGAGAGGAUAGUGGAAUUCCCAGUGUAGAGGUGAAAUUCGUAGAUAUUGGGAAGAACACCGGUGGCGAAGGCGGCUAUCUGGACCACAACUGACGCUGAGGCGCGAAAGCGUGGGGAGCAAACAGGAUUAGAUACCCUCGUAGUCC
This 292-nucleotide ribosomal RNA is filed under the name uncultured bacterium. RNAcentral's name for it is "partial 16S ribosomal RNA". It matches the Rfam family "Bacterial small subunit ribosomal RNA", at positions 505 to 796 of the family's 1533-position model. The record is from RNAcentral.